Molecule: transfer-messenger RNA, 361 nt
Filed under: Gammaproteobacteria (g-proteobacteria)
Lineage: Bacteria; Pseudomonadati; Pseudomonadota
Also listed under: 1 other name
Description: JACQWY01 sp016209015 Standard tmRNA
Rfam family: transfer-messenger RNA
About the family: Bacterial tmRNA, also known as 10Sa RNA or SsrA, is named for its dual tRNA and mRNA-like properties. Its role is to liberate the mRNA from a stalled ribosome. To accomplish this part of the tmRNA is used as a reading frame that ends in a translation stop signal.
Source: RNAcentral
GGGGGCGACAUGGUUUCGACGUGGGUCGCGAAACCGAAGGGGCAUGUCGAGGAGCAGUCACCUCGUAAAUCCAUCUGCAACCUAUAUAGUUGCCAACGACGACAACUACGCACUCGCCGCUUAAUACCCGGUAGGGUGCCGUCCGACUGAAGCCGUGCUUGUGCGUUCAGAUUUCGGGCGUCAUAUCUCACAAGAUCGCGACGCGGCACGUCCGGGGCCAACUCGCUAAAACCUUACGGACUCGCUGUGCGUCUUCCCUGCCUGUCGGGUAGCGCCCGGCUAAAACAAUAGACCGGAUAAACAUGUAGAACCGACGGCAGAGGGCUUGCGGACGCGGGUUCGAUUCCCGCCGCCUCCACCA